This is a non-coding RNA of Podarcis lilfordi (Lilford's wall lizard), 5110 nucleotides long. NCBI's taxonomy places the organism in Eukaryota, Metazoa, Chordata, Lepidosauria, Squamata, Lacertidae. The record is from the annotation of a GenBank genome assembly.
AGGGUCCAUCAAAUUUGGGGUAUCCCUCACCCCCAUGUUGUCUCAGUUGCCCUACUGACAGAGCUGAUCUUCUGAACGUAUGGCGUGUUGUAUUCCAAGCUGGUCUAAUCUGUUAGGCCGAGAUGCCGAAGAAUAUCCAGAUUCAGAGAGCUAUUUCCAUCCUCCCUUAGCUAGAGAUAACAGGGACUGGACUUGGGUCCUUUUACAUGCUAACCACAUGCUCUUUCUUCAAGUUGUAAGUUGUCAUAGAGAACCUCCCCCCCCCCCAUCAUGAUGGCUGAAUAAUUCCCUUGUGGGGAGGGAUAGUAUUUUGGGUGCAGCAUUCCAGCAGCGGGUGUUUCUGGAGCCAAAGCCAAACGCAACAUCCCCUCUCUCUCUGAUGGACACACACAUACAGUUUGCUUCAGAGAAAAGAAAAAAAAACCUCAGUGCAAAUUGAGUUGCGGGUGGGGGGCAUUCCAGGAUCAAAUCAGAAGCUUUUGUAAUUCUGAAACUGUCCCUAGAAAAUUGGGGGACUUGGAGGGCAUGAGGGAGUGCAUAUUGCCCAGCCAAUACAGGACAUUUUAUUCCCUGAUUCUGGGGGGCCUGGGGGAGGAGGAGCUUUUCACCUGAGGUGUGUUGUGUAAUGUGUAGUCCAAAGUCUCUAGAAGGUGCCAGGAUGGUUGACCCAUAGUAUACCUGAAGGAGCGUUUCCACCCCCAUCGUUCUGCCCGUACACUGAGGUCCAGCGCCGAGGGCCUUCUGGUGGUUCCCUCAUUGCAAGAAGCAAAGCUACAGGGAACCAGGCAGAGGGGCUUCUUGGUAGUGGCUCCUGCCCUGUGGAACGCCAUCCCAUCAGAUGUCAAAGAGAUAAGCAACUACCUGACACUUAGAAGACAUCUGAAGGCAGCCCUGUUCUUCAGGGAAGUUUUUAAUGUGUGACAUUUAUUGUAUUUUUCAUCUUUGUUGGAAGCCGCCCAGAGUGGCUGGGGAAACCCAGUCAGAUGGGCGGGGUACAAAUAAUUUAUUAUUGUUGUUGUUGUUGUCGUCCCCUGUUGGAUGUGGCUCAGGAUUUUGUGGUGCCUUUCCAACCUCCGUCAACCUGGGCUUUGUCCCGAGUGGCUCCUGGUAGCACUAAUUCAGCGAGGCACACUCUUGUCCUGGAUUUGACCCAGGACUUAGAAUAGAGCCUUUGCCAUCCUGACAAAAUGUGGCCUGCCAAGUCACAUGGCCCCUCUUGCUUAUUUGUGGGCAAACAAACUGAUUCUUUGGACUGGUCCCUAACUGGGGCGUUCAAUCCAAGCUGUAGGUCAAGAGGUGGGGAGUUGUCUUGUGCUUGAGGUUUGGAGGUCUGUAGCGCUGAGCAAACUGAGCUCCCAGUUGCCAUGGGGAACUGUGGCGGCCCCCUGGCAUGUGCCGGCUUUGGCUCCUGAGCCGCCUUUCCCAGAUUCACCCUGACAACUCCUGCCCGAAAGUUCCCUUUACACUCUGCUGGAACCUGCAGGAGUUUCCUUUGCUGUGUGCUUCCCUGAGAAAGGGUGGCCUCCUUAAAAAAAAAAUCCAAAAAAAUUAAAUCAAUCAGCUGUGCGGCUACUUGCAAGCCUUCAAGGACCUUUCAAGGAUACAGGAGCUAGGGUGGAGGGGCAGAGAGAGGGGGUUUCCACAGCAUCGCUUGCAAAACCACCCAAUAGAAUUCUUGAAUCCCAGGGACUCUGUAGCCGUUCCAAAGUGUUCCAGCCUGCCUCUGCUGCUUUGAGCAUCCUCCAGUCAGUGCUGUUCAUACCCCGCUGCUACACUCCUAAUACAUCUCUCUUCCUGCUGCAUUUUUCACUGUGAGCCCCCGUACUUAUCAGCUCCAAAAAUAGCUGCACUGCAGAGCGCAGGCAUCCUCCCCAGCAAAGCCCUGCCUUCUGUAAGCCUGAGAUUACAUAAUUCCCAAGGGAAACAACCAAGUGCCUUGUGAUACCUUAAAGCCUGACAAGUUUGUUAUGGCAUGAGAUUUGGGGACUGCGGACCACGUUGUCAGGUCCCUGAAAUGUCAUCCUCAGUGGACAGGCACCUGUGGUAGUGGGAAGAGACAACAAAGCAAUGAAAUUAGAGGGAAAUGGGGAGUGGGUGGUCUUGAUUACCUUGUAGCUUAAAUAUACGUAAAAUUGUCAUGAUGCCCAUCUGUACCAUUCGCUGUCUUGAGGAUAACCAGGGGAGGGGAGGCAGAGAAAUUUGGUUUGGCUCAGAUUUUGCUGUGAACUCUCCUGAUCCACACUUUCUGAAACAGUCUGCAAAUGGGAACACAGCUAUCCUUGGGAAUUUGCACCUCUCUGCCUUUUGUGAUGCAGUUCUCCAAGCAAAUAACGCGUAACAAGAAUGUUUCACAUGGAUGGGAAGUUUGCACAAAAACAUGUUAGUGGAAAUGACAUAUCAAAAUGAGGAUUGGGGGUGUGGGAUUGCACUCAGGUCCUGCUCGUGGGCAUCCCAAAGGGACAUCUGGCUGGCCGCAGUGAGAACAGGAUGCUGGAAUGGCUGGACCACCUCUGGCCUAAUUCAGCACUGCAGAGCUCUUUUUUACCAUCCUGGUAUCCAAUAUCCUUUUUGAGAUGAGCCUUUGUAAAAAGAAAAAGAAAAGUGGAAUGUGUUAACAAGGGUGGUGUCUUAAAUAAGAUGUGGCACAGUCUGGUGGUAGCUAUGGGGCCUUCUGAAGCAAAGCGUUUGCUCUGUCCUUGAAACCUCCCUGUGACAUCUGUUCUACAUGGGAACUGACUUCCCACAUUAGCCAGUACAUUUAAUAAGAUCCGUGGCUAAAGUAUUGAUGGAUCACACUGAUGAUUAAAGAUCAGAGAGUCAAUGUAAUGUGUAAUGUGAGAGUGUUGGACUGGGACUUGGGAGACUGGGGUUCAGAUCCCCACUUGGCCACUAAAGCUCACUGGGUGAUUUUGGGGGGCCAGUCACUGCCUCUCAGCCUAACCUGCCUCACAGGGUUGUUGUGGGGGAUUAAAAUGAGGAGGAGGAGAACCACGUGUGCCACUUUGCUCUACUUGGAGGAAAAGGUGGGAUAUGAAUGUGAGCAAACAAGCAAAUAUUGCGGUGUUGCUUAUAAAAUAAUGUUGUGGCAAUCCAAACUGCCUUGCAUUCCAGGGAUUUUUUUCACAUUCCUUUCCAGAUUGCCUAGGUCAACAGACUCCCACAACCAAACAGCACGGUCCAAAAUGCAUGGUCCAUGCUUCACAUCUGCAGCAAAGGUUGUGGUUCAAACCAUCUAGAGGGCACCAGGUUGGGGAAGACUAACCUAGGGGUAAACAGCCAGACUCUUGUCAGCAUUCUUUUGGAAAAUUCCACCUAUAUUUUAGUAGUCCUGUAAAAAUCAAUUGGUUUCAAAAUAGCACCUGUAAAUUUUCAUAGGGACCAUAUAAAACCUAUAUAACUGCUACUAGACAUUUCUGAGCCGUUUCACUCUAAACAACUGUUGUGUAACUUUCUCAUUCCGCGUUGUGGACUGGCCAAUAACUGCACCAAAGAUCACGCUACAAGAAGAUAAGGAUUUUCCGGACAAGUUUUUCCUUCUUUAUUGCCUUUUAAAGCAUAGCUCUUUAAAGGGAAAUAUGUCAGCUAUUGAACUCAAAUUGGAGUUCAGAAUUUGGCUAGCAUGCCUGAAGAACAGAACAUGUUGCACAAGGCUGUAAUAGAGAGGUUGGGCCUACAGGUGGAAGAGGAGGACUCUUCUCUUUGGCUUUGAGUCUUUCAGUCUUCAUCUUCAUCAGCUUGUUUGCCAAGGAACAUCGAUGCACCACCGAGGAUUCUGGGGAAUGUUCUGUGGUGGACAUUUUGGAUCUUCACUGUGGCAGUCACUGGCUGCCAUGGAUGGUUGGCCACAGAGGAAUGGUGGGAGGAACCAGCUGGGGGAUCCUCAAGGGAAGAAGGCUCAGAGUCAGGGGUGUGGUGAUGGUGGGAAAAUGAUGAAUGGUCAGAGGAAGAAGACUGGGAGGAGGAGGUGUCAGAAGCUGAAGAGAUAACAGGGCAUAGUGAGCUGAGAGAGUCUGUGGCAGAGGAAAUUCAGAAUCGGCGGUAGAUUCAUUGCCUGUCCUCAUUAAAUCCUUGAAAUUCUUCACAACUCUGAGGAGCAACCCUUUCCAUCUUUCUCCUCAUCUUUAUUUUCCAUGUGGGGAACUGGGCAGCACCUGAAACUUCCUGUGUCUGCAUGGAUCCAGAAAAUAGGAUCAGUGCUUCAUAUGUGGUGGGAUUGCCCUAUAGCUCAACAAAGUUUGGAAGGAGGCAUUUGAUUGAACUUGGCAAAAUUACCAACCAAACCCUCUAACUCAGGGGUAGUCAACCUUUUUAUACCUACCAAUGCAAUUUUCUUGAUGGUAAAAUUUCCUUACCGCCCACCAGUGUUGCAGUAACGUGUGGCGCAGAACACCCUACCGCCCACCUGGAAUCCUGAAACGCCCACUAGCGGGUGGUAGGCACCAGGUUGACAACCCCUGCUCUAACUAGAUCCGAUUCUCCUACAUUGAAAGCGAUAACAAUCAUGGAAUUCAAUACAGAUAAUUAACAGCAAUGUUACUGGCUGCAGUGCAGCUGCAAUUAGCUAGCAACUGGAAGGGAGGUUCUGUGUCCACAAAGGAGGGGUGGUACAAAAAAGGGGGGGGGCAGACUGCAUUAUUGGAGUGUUUGACCCAACAUAGGCAAGUCAUUGACAGUACAGUGGUACCUUGGUUUUCAAGUGUCUCAGAAGUUGAACGAUUCAGAACCUGAAUGCUGAAAACCUGGAAGCAAUUGCUUCCCUUUUCAAACAUGCCUCAGAAAUCAAACGGCUUCUGCUGCAUGUUUUUCUAUUUUUUCCAUUGACUUUGCUGGCCACCCUUUGUGCCUCGGUUGUUGAACGUUUUAGAAGUCAAACGGUCUUCCAGCACGAAAUACGUUUGACAACUGAGGUACCACUGUAAAGUGAAACAGGAUCAUUCCAACGUUACCUUGUUUCCAUUCAUUAGUUAACAAAUAUCAAAUUCCCCCUAGGCCACCCACAUCCCAAACAGCUUCCUCCAAUAAUGAGAAGGAUGAGAGUAGAACCCUUUUCAUGUUUAUUGACUGUUAUAUUCAACAGACAUGGUUGAAUAAAAGCAUGGUUUUAUACUUG